RNAcentral lists this ribosomal RNA (845 nucleotides) under Escherichia coli. RNAcentral describes it as "partial 23S ribosomal RNA". It matches the Rfam family "Bacterial large subunit ribosomal RNA", at positions 2104 to 2925 of the family's 2925-position model. The record is from RNAcentral. Lineage: Bacteria; Pseudomonadati; Pseudomonadota; Gammaproteobacteria; Enterobacterales; Enterobacteriaceae.
CUAUAGCUUGACACUGAACAUUGAGCCUUGAUGUGUAGGAUAGGUGGGAGGCUUGGAAGUGUGGACGCCAGUCUGCAUGGAGCCGACCUUGAAAUACCACCCUUUAAUGUUUGAUGUUCUAACGUUGACCCGUAAUCCGGGUUGCGGACAGUGUCUGGUGGGUAGUUUGACUGGGGCGGUCUCCUCCUAAAGAGUAACGGAGGAGCACGAAGGUUGGCUAAUCCUGGUCGGACAUCAGGAGGUUAGUGCAAUGGCAUAAGCCAGCUUGACUGCGAGCGUGACGGCGCGAGCAGGUGCGAAAGCAGGUCAUAGUGAUCCGGUGGUUCUGAAUGGAAGGGCCAUCGCUCAACGGAUAAAAGGUACUCCGGGGAUAACAGGCUGAUACCGCCCAAGAGUUCAUAUCGACGGCGGUGUUUGGCACCUCGAUGUCGGCUCAUCACAUCCUGGGGCUGAAGUAGGUCCCAAGGGUAUGGCUGUUCGCCAUUUAAAGUGGUACGCGAGCUGGGUUUAGAACGUCGUGAGACAGUUCGGUCCCUAUCUGCCGUGGGCGCUGGAGAACUGAGGGGGGCUGCUCCUAGUACGAGAGGACCGGAGUGGACGCAUCACUGGUGUUCGGGUUGUCAUGCCAAUGGCACUGCCCGGUAGCUAAAUGCGGAAGAGAUAAGUGCUGAAAGCAUCUAAGCACGAAACUUGCCCCGAGAUGAGUUCUCCCUGACUCCUUGAGAGUCCUGAAGGAACGUUGAAGACGACGACGUUGAUAGGCCGGGUGUGUAAGCGCAGCGAUGCGUUGAGCUAACCGGUACUAAUGAACCGUGAGGCUUAACCUUACAACGCCGAAGGUGUUU